RNAcentral lists this ribosomal RNA (253 nucleotides) under uncultured bacterium. RNAcentral describes it as "partial 16S ribosomal RNA". It matches the Rfam family "Bacterial small subunit ribosomal RNA", at positions 524 to 776 of the family's 1533-position model. The record is from RNAcentral.
UACGUAUGGUGCAAGCGUUAUCCGGAUUUACUGGGUGUAAAGGGAGCGUAGACGGAUAGGCAAGUCUGGAGUGAAAGCCCGGGGCUCAACCCCGGGACUGCUUUGGAAACUGUUUAUCUAGAGUGCUGGAGAGGUAAGUGGAAUUCCUAGUGUAGCGGUGAAAUGCGUAGAUAUUAGGAGGAACACCAGUGGCGAAGGCGGCUUACUGGACGGUAACUGACGUUGAGGCUCGAAAGCGUGGGGAGCAAACAGG